Molecule: microRNA, 24 nt
Filed under: Tribolium castaneum (red flour beetle)
Lineage: Eukaryota; Metazoa; Arthropoda; Insecta; Coleoptera; Tenebrionidae
Description: tca-miR-3811a-3p
Source: miRBase by way of RNAcentral
UAUGUACAACCGUGAGUGGAGACC